CAGCUGUAAACUAUGUGCGUUAGGUGUGUCAGUGACCACGUGUCACUGAGGUGCCGAAGGGAAACCGUGAAACGCACCGCCUGGGGAGUACGGUCGCAAGGCUGAAACUUAAAGGAAUUGGCGGGGGAGCACUACAACGGGUGGAGCCUGCGGUUUAAUUGGAUUCAACGCCGGAAAUCUUACCGGGACCGACAGCAACAUGAAGGCCAAGCUGAAGACUUUGCCGGAUUAGCUGAGAGGAGGUGCAUGGCGUAGUCGUGU
This 261-nucleotide ribosomal RNA is filed under the name uncultured archaeon. RNAcentral describes it as "partial 16S ribosomal RNA". It matches the Rfam family "Archaeal small subunit ribosomal RNA", at positions 748 to 1009 of the family's 1478-position model. The record is from RNAcentral.